GAUGAACGCUAGCGGGAGGCCUAAUACAUGCAAGUCGAACGGUAAAUGGUAGCAAUACUAUGAGAGUGGCGUACGGGUGCGUAACGCGUACACAACCUGCCUUGUACUGGGGGAUAGCCUCGGGAAACUGAGAUUAAUACCCCAUAAUUUUACGAUGUGGCAUCACAUUGUAAUUAAAGCUCCGGCGGUACAAGAUGGGUGUGCGUCCGAUUAGGUAGUUGGUGAGGUAACGGCUCACCAAGCCGACGAUCGGUAGCUGGUCUGAGAGGACGAGCAGCCACACGGGCACUGAGACACGGGCCCGACUCCUACGGGAGGCAGCAGUAGGGAAUAUUGGACAAUGGACGCAAGUCUGAUCUAGCCAUCCCGCGUGAAGGAUUAAGGCCCUCUGGGUUGUAAACUUCUUUUCUUUGGGAAUAAAAAGCGGUAUUCAUAUCGCCUUGAAGGUACCAGGGGAAUAAGCACCGGCUAACUCCGUGCCAGCAGCCGCCGUAA
RNAcentral lists this ribosomal RNA (495 nucleotides) under uncultured bacterium. RNAcentral's name for it is "partial 16S ribosomal RNA". It matches the Rfam family "Bacterial small subunit ribosomal RNA", at positions 28 to 523 of the family's 1533-position model. The record is from RNAcentral.